AUUGAACGCUGGCGGCAGGCCUAACACAUGCAAGUCGAGCGGAUGAGUGGAGCUUGCUCCAUGAUUCAGCGGCGGACGGGUGAGUAAUGCCUAGGAAUCUGCCUGGUAGUGGGGGACAACGUUUCGAAAGGAACGCUAAUACCGCAUACGUCCUACGGGAGAAAGCAGGGGACCUUCGGGCCUUGCGCUAUCAGAUGAGCCUAGGUCGGAUUAGCUAGUUGGUGAGGUAAUGGCUCACCAAGGCGACGAUCCGUAACUGGUCUGAGAGGAUGAUCAGUCACACUGGAACUGAGACACGGUCCAGACUCCUACGGGAGGCAGCAGUGGGAAUAUUGGACAAUGGGCGCAAGCCUGAUCCAGCCAUGCCGCGUGUGUGAAGAAGGUCUUCGGAUGUAAAGCACUUUAAGUUGGGAGGAAGGGUAGUAACCUAAUACGUUGCUACUUUGACGUUACCGACAGAAUAAGCACCGGCUAACU
RNAcentral lists this ribosomal RNA (477 nucleotides) under uncultured bacterium. RNAcentral describes it as "bacterial SSU rRNA". It matches the Rfam family "Bacterial small subunit ribosomal RNA", at positions 30 to 502 of the family's 1533-position model. The record is from RNAcentral.